AGCUCCAGUAGCGUAUAUUAAAGUUGUUGCAGUUAAAAAGCUCGUAGUUGGAUUUCUGGCAUGGCAGAGCUGGCCUGGCUUCUAAAGUCUCGUGCCGGCCUCUGUCAGCCAUCCUUUCAGAGAACGGUAGUUUCCUUCAUUGGUGACUGCUGCAAUCUGGAACUUUUACUUUGAAAAAAUUAGAGUGUUCAAAGCAGGCAUUUCGCUAUGAAUACAUUAGCAUGGAAUAAUAAUUUAGGACUUCGGCCCUAUUUUGUUGGUUCUAGGACCGAAGUAAUGAUUGAUAGGGAUAGUUGGGGGUGCUACUACUCAGCGGCCAGAGGUGAAAUUCUUGGAUUCGCUGAAGAGUAACUUAUGCGAAAGCAUUCACCAAGGAUGUCUUCU
This 384-nucleotide ribosomal RNA is filed under the name uncultured eukaryote. RNAcentral's name for it is "SSU rRNA". It matches the Rfam family "Eukaryotic small subunit ribosomal RNA", at positions 587 to 972 of the family's 1831-position model. The record is from RNAcentral.